Molecule: long non-coding RNA, 597 nt
Filed under: Vulpes vulpes (red fox)
Lineage: Eukaryota; Metazoa; Chordata; Mammalia; Carnivora; Canidae
Description: lncRNA (ENSVVUG00000000388.1)
Source: RNAcentral
AUCCGACAUCAUUAAUAAGACGAGCACAAAGACCCUGGCCAAGCUCAGCCCAGUUCUGCAGACGUGUGGUAUGGAUUAGCGCAGUUCCCGGGAUGGGUGUAACAGCCCUGGAGGUUAACCGUCCCCGGUAGCGAGGGAUUCCAUGCAGAGGUUUCCCCAUGAACAUAAAGGGCAGCACAGAAUUGCUGUUGGGUCUACUGUUCAGUUGCUCCAAUUCUGGGGAACGUACUCAGCUUCAGGGAUGCAGUUGGAUUUUGCUCCCUGACCUCCCUUGCAUCGUGUAAGAGGGGAACUCUUCCUGACGCCUCGCCCUAGUACCCCUGAGGUCCCUGAAGUAGCCCGGGGUCGGUCACCCGCCUGCUAAGUAGCACGGCGGAGCGGCCCUGCAUCGGUGCAUGUGACAGCUCCACCAGCCAGGCGUGCCACCCAGCCAUUAUCCAGGCCCGUCCUAAGUGCAGCCCGCUGGGCUCAAAUGCCACUUUCGGAAGCAACACAUAAUUUUCUGUUACUGCGAGGGUCGCUGCGAGUCUCCUCCGGCUCCUUGGCACUUGCUUCCACAGCCCAUUGCUGUGACAAAAUGAAAACCCGGCAUUAAAC